Molecule: non-coding RNA, 28 nt
Filed under: Rattus norvegicus (Norway rat)
Lineage: Eukaryota; Metazoa; Chordata; Mammalia; Rodentia; Muridae
Source: RNAcentral
UGGUGUCAACUAACCAAAGGAAUCUCAC